Molecule: long non-coding RNA, 280 nt
Filed under: Gallus gallus (chicken)
Lineage: Eukaryota; Metazoa; Chordata; Aves; Galliformes; Phasianidae
Source: RNAcentral
GGGCCAAAAGGGUCCGUUUCUGGGGGGGCGAAAGCGAACCUUUUUGGGGCGAAAAGCGGCGUUUUGGGGUCAGUAUUUGCUGGGGGGGAAAAGGUCGCGGCCGGUGCGCAGGAUCUGCUCCUCCAGGCGGCGGUGGCGCUGCAUAUCCCACAGCACUUUGUCCAAACGGGCCUCGCGGCGGCGGCGGGCGGCGCUGCCGGGGGUGCGGCGGCGCUCCAGGAGGGCACUGCGGGGCGCUGUGGGUUCGUCCUCAAAGUCAAACUCGGUGGGGAGCGGAGGC